GAGUCUGUGUGAGGUGGUCUUGGUGCUGGUGAUUGAAGAGCGUAAACCGGGAGUACUGUGCGAGGUGCUCUCAGUGGUGGGGAUUGAAGAGGUGAAAUUCGGUAGUCUGUGUGAAGUGGGUCUCAGUUGCUGGUGAUUGAAGAGGUGAAGCUGGGAGUACUGUGUGAGAUGGUCUUGGUGGUGGGGAUUGAAGAGGUGAAGCUGGGAGUACUGUGCGAGGUGGUCUCAGUGGUGGGGAUUGAAGAGGUGAAACUGGGAGUACUGUGUGAAGUGGUCUCAGUGCUGGUGAUUGAAGAGGUGAAACUGGGAGUGCUGUGUGAGAUGGUCUCGGUGGUGGGGAUUGAAGAAGUGACGCUGGAAGUACUGUGUGAGAUCGUCUCAGUGCUGGUGAUUGAAGAGGUGAAGCUGGGAAUACUGUGUGAGGUGGUCUCUGUGGUCUCUGUGGUCUCAGUGGUGGGGAUUGAAGAGGUGACACUGGGAGUACUGUGUGAGGUAGUCUCAGUGCUGGUGAUUGAAGAGGUGAAAUUGGGAGUACUGUGUGAGGUGGUCUCUGUGGUGAAGACUGAAGAAGUGAAGCUGGGAGUACUGUGUGAGGUGAUCUCAGUGCUGAUGACUGAAGAGGUGAAAUUGGGAGUACUGGGUGAAGUGGUCUUGGUGGUGGGGAUUGAAGAGGUGAAACUGGGACUACUGGGUGAUGUGGUCUCAGUGCUGGUGAUUGAAGAAGUAAAGCUAGAAGUACUGUGGGAUGUGAUCUCAGUGGUGGUGGUGAACAAGUUUGUUGUAGGAGUCGUGGCUGUUUCUGUGGUCCGGAGAAAGGAAGAGGUGGGUGGGAGAGUAAUGGUGGUGGACAAUAUACCUGUUGUAGUUGUGGAAAAGGUGAUUUUGGUCGUGGAGUCUGGGACAGUGCUAGUGGGAAAAGUAGGGUGGGUGGUCUCAGAUGUAGGUCUGUCUCUUAUACACAUCUAG
This 966-nucleotide long non-coding RNA is filed under the name Aotus nancymaae (Ma's night monkey). RNAcentral describes it as "lncRNA (ENSANAG00000038813.1)". The record is from RNAcentral. Lineage: Eukaryota; Metazoa; Chordata; Mammalia; Primates; Aotidae.